RNAcentral lists this ribosomal RNA (196 nucleotides) under uncultured bacterium. RNAcentral describes it as "partial 16S ribosomal RNA". It matches the Rfam family "Bacterial small subunit ribosomal RNA", at positions 328 to 539 of the family's 1533-position model. The record is from RNAcentral.
ACGCUCGACACCUACAGGAGGCAGCAGUGGGGAAUAUUGCACAAUGGGGGAAACCCUGAUGCAGCGACGCCGCGUGGAGGAAGAAGGUCUUCGGAUUGUAAACUCCUGUUGUUGGGGAAAAAGAGGAUGGUACCCAACAAGGAAGUGACGGCUAACUACGUGCCAGCAGCCGGUAAUCUGAGCGGGCUGGCAAGGC